Esox lucius (northern pike) is the source of this 1120-nucleotide long non-coding RNA. The record is from Ensembl. NCBI's taxonomy places the organism in Eukaryota, Metazoa, Chordata, Actinopteri, Esociformes, Esocidae.
GUUGUUGUACUAUAUAAAAUAUGCAGAGGGAGUAUGAAAUAUAUGAAGUGUUUAGUAGUCCAACAACACGUGUGUGCAUUUGUGUGGUCAGUGUAGCGUGUGUGUAUUUGUGUGGUUAGUGUAGCGUGUGUGUAUUUGUGUGGUUAGUAGUUAGUAGGUUAACUAGUUUGGGUCACGGCUCAAAUGUAGUGCACACAUUUAGACAACAGGGCUUUUUCAUAGGGCACUAGGGAAAACUAGUGCACUCCUUUAGAGAAUAGGGCUCUUUCAUAGUGCACUAGUUUAGAGAACAGGGCUCUUUCAUAGUGCACUAGUUUAGAGAACAGGGCUCUUUCAUAGUGCACUAGUUUAGAGAAUAGGGCUCUUUCAUAGUGCACUAGUUUAGAGAACAGGGCUCUUUCAUAGUGCACUAGUUUAGAGAACAGGGCUCUUUCAUAGUGCACUAGUUUAGAGAACAGGGCUCUUUCAUAGUGCACUAGUUUAGAGAACAGGGCUCUUUCAUAGUGCACUAGUUUAGAGAACAGGGCUCUUUCAUAGUGCACUAGUUUAGAGAACAGGACUCUUUCAUAGUACACUAGUUUUCCCCAGAGCCCUAUUUUGGCAUUUGUUUUCAUUAGGGUUGUUUGAGUGUUUAGAUGUGGACAUCUUAACCAGAAGUUACUAAAUGCAUAGAGAGGAAAUGGAGGGCAUUGUUAUUUUAAUGUUACAUGUUUCAAUGAGGUUCACAACAAGACUAUUAAAAGUUACCACGAGGGAAUGUUGAGGCAAACAGGUGGAGGAGACAGGUGGGGGAGACAGGUGUUCGAGGUCCCGGGUUUUUCCUGCCGUGUGUCUACUACCAACAGUUGUUGUUGUUGUUGUUGUUUGAGUUGAUAAAGUAUUUAUUACAAUUGUUUUUUGUUUAUUUAUUUUGGUUGUGAGAUUUAUUCAUUUUAGUGUGGUUUAUGAGUUGUGCUUUUGUUCAAAAGGCUGUUGCCUGUUUUUUUUGUAGAACCACAAUCAAAUUAAUAUUUGAAUAAAUGGUUUUACUAUAAAAUAAAUGUUAAUAUGAAGUACAUAAUAGUGUGUACAUUAUGGUGUUGCUGUAACCCCAAUAAAGCCCUGAUAACAAUGUGAAUCC